This is a non-coding RNA of Ictidomys tridecemlineatus (thirteen-lined ground squirrel), 73 nucleotides long. Lineage: Eukaryota; Metazoa; Chordata; Mammalia; Rodentia; Sciuridae. The record is from Rfam.
GGGGAUAUAGUUCAAUUGGUAGAGUACUUGUCUUGCAUGGAUAAGGCCUUGGGUUCAAUCCCCAGUACCACCA